RNAcentral lists this ribosomal RNA (497 nucleotides) under uncultured bacterium. RNAcentral describes it as "partial 16S ribosomal RNA". It matches the Rfam family "Bacterial small subunit ribosomal RNA", at positions 28 to 507 of the family's 1533-position model. The record is from RNAcentral.
GAUGAACGCUGGCGGCGUGCCUAAUACAUGCAAGUCGAGCGAACAGGUAAGGAGCUUGCUCCGUUGACGUUAGCGGCGGACGGGUGAGUAACACGUGGGUAACCUACCUAUAUGACUGGGAUAACUUCGGGAAACCGGAGCUAAUACCGGAUAAUAUUUCGAACCGCAUGGUUGGAUAGUGAAAGAUGGUUUUUCUAUCACUUAUAGAUGGACCCGCGCCGUAUUAGCUAGUUGGUAAGGUAACGGCUUACCAAGGCGACGAUACGUAGCCGACCUGAGAGGGUGAUAGGCCACACUGGAACUGAGACACGGUCCAGACUCCUACGGGAGGCAGCAGUAGGGAACCUGCCGCAGUGGGCGGGAGCCUUGCGGAGCAGCGCCGCGUGAGUGAUGAAGGCCUUCGGAUCGUAAAACUCUGUUAUUAGGGAAGAACAUACGUGUAAGUAACUGUGCACGUCUUGACGGUACCUAAUCAGAAAGCCCCGGCUAACUACGUG